This 429-nucleotide ribosomal RNA is filed under the name Verrucomicrobiota bacterium. Its description in RNAcentral is "Verrucomicrobia bacterium partial 16S ribosomal RNA". It matches the Rfam family "Bacterial small subunit ribosomal RNA", at positions 355 to 776 of the family's 1533-position model. The record is from RNAcentral. Lineage: Bacteria; Pseudomonadati; Verrucomicrobiota.
UAGGGAAUCUUCGGCAAUGGGGGGAACCCUGACCGAGCAACGCCGCGUGAGUGAAGAAGGUUUUCGGAUCGUAAAGCUCUGUUGUUAAGGAAGAACGAGUGUGAGAAUGGAAAGUUCAUGCUGUGACGGUACUUAACCAGAAAGGGACGGCUAACUACGUGCCAGCAGCCGCGGUAAUACGUAGGUCCCGAGCGUUGUCCGGAUUUAUUGGGCGUAAAGCGAGCGCAGGCGGUUAGAAAAGUCUGAAGUGAAAGGCAGUGGCUCAACCAUUGUAGGCUUUGGAAACUGUUUAUCUUGAGUGCAGAAGGGGAGAGUGGAAUUCCAUGUGUAGCGGUGAAAUGCGUAGAUAUAUGGAGGAACACCGGUGGCGAAAGCGGCUCUCUGGUCUGCAACUGACACUGAGGCGCGAAAGCGUGGGGAGCAAACAGG